This is a non-coding RNA of Caretta caretta (loggerhead turtle), 464 nucleotides long. The record is from RefSeq and is a predicted model, not a curated record. Lineage: Eukaryota; Metazoa; Chordata; Testudines; Cheloniidae.
GAAGUGGGACUGUUCUUAAUGGUUCCUCUGAAUAGUGUGGGGGUGCCUCAGUUUCCCCUAGGCAGUUCUUAAGUAUCUAGGGGGUGGAGUAAGGGUGUAUGACCAUUGCAGAGCCCUAGAGGGCAUGUGUGUGCAGGAGUCUGGACACAGAGAGCGGCCAACACCCUGUUUCCUGGCAACUGAUGGCCUGGGCCCUUCCCCCCUGCAAGGUGAGAGCUGAAGGGUUGGAGAACAAAGGAAUCAGGUGACCACCUGGCCCGGGAAAGGAACAAAGCCCAGAGGAGGCGGGGCUGGGGGGGGGUUUCAGUUUGGGGCUGGCUGGGACAUGGAGUGAAGUGCAGACGUGGUUGUCUGGCUCACUGCCCCCCAAAAUGGACCCAGCUGAGGGGUCCCGUUCUCUGCACCUGCAAGCUCUGUUUUAGACCAUGUUCCUGUCGUCUAAUAAACCUUCUGUUUUACUGGCU